Molecule: ribosomal RNA, 255 nt
Filed under: uncultured bacterium
Lineage: Bacteria
Description: partial 16S ribosomal RNA
Rfam family: Bacterial small subunit ribosomal RNA
Source: RNAcentral
UACGGAGGGAGCUAGUCGUUGUUCGGAAUUACUGGGCGUAAAGCGCACGUAGGCGGCUUUGUAAGUUAGAGGUGAAAGCCUGGAGCUCAACUCCAGAACUGCCUUUAAGACUGCAUCGCUUGAAUCCAGGAGAGGUGAGUGGAAUUCCGAGUGUAGAGGUGAAAUUCGUAGAUAUUCGGAAGAACACCAGUGGCGAAGGCGGCUCACUGGACUGGUAUUGACGCUGAGGUGCGAAAGCGUGGGGGAGCAAACAGG